This 489-nucleotide ribosomal RNA is filed under the name uncultured bacterium. RNAcentral describes it as "partial 16S ribosomal RNA". It matches the Rfam family "Bacterial small subunit ribosomal RNA", at positions 29 to 507 of the family's 1533-position model. The record is from RNAcentral.
AUGAACGCUAGCGAUAGGCUUAACACAUGCAAGUCGAGGGGCAGCAUGGUCUUAGCUUGCUAAGACUGAUGGCGACCGGCGCACGGGUGCGUAACGUGUAUGCAACUUGCCUCACAGAGGGGGAUAACCCGUCGAAAGACGGACUAAUACCGCGUACACUCCAUCUUGGGCAUCCAAGGUAGAGGAAAUGAAAUUCGCUGUGAGAUAGGCAUGCGUCCCAUUAGCUAGUUGGUGAGGUAACGGCUCACCAAGGCGACGAUGGGUAGGGGAACUGAGAGGUUGAACCCCCACACUGGUACUGAGACACGGACCAGACUCCUACGGGAGGCAGCAGUGAGGAAUAUUGGUCAAUGGGCGAGAGCCUGAACCAGCCAAGUCGCGUGAAGGAUGACUGUCUUAUGGAUUGUAAACUUCUUUUAUACGGGAAUAACAAGAGUCACGUGUGACUCCCUGCAUGUACCGUAUGAAUAAGCAUCGGCUAACUCCGUG